RNAcentral lists this ribosomal RNA (493 nucleotides) under uncultured bacterium. Its description in RNAcentral is "bacterial SSU rRNA". It matches the Rfam family "Bacterial small subunit ribosomal RNA", at positions 30 to 517 of the family's 1533-position model. The record is from RNAcentral.
AUUGAACGCUGGCGGAAUGCUUUACACAUGCAAGUCGAACGGCAGCACGGGGGCAACCCUGGUGGCGAGUGGCGAACGGGUGAGUAAUGUAUCGGAACGUGCCCAGUCGUGGGGGAUAACGUAGUGAAAAUUACGCUAAUACCGCAUACGAUCUACGGAUGAAAGCGGGGGAUCGCAAGACCUCGCGCGAUUGGAGCGGCCGAUAUCAGAUUAGGUAGUUGGUGGGGUAAAGGCUCACCAAGCCGACGAUCUGUAGCUGGUCUGAGAGGACGACCAGCCACACUGGAACUGAGACACGGUCCAGACUCCUACGGGAGGCAGCAGUGGGGAAUUUUGGACAAUGGGCGCAAGCCUGAUCCAGCCAUUCCGCGUGCAGGAUGAAGGCCCUCGGGUUGUAAACUGCUUUUGUACGGAGCGAAAAGGCUCUCUCUAAUACAGGGGCUCAUGACGGUACCGUAAGAAUAAGCACCGGCUAACUACGUGCCAGCAGCCG